UGCGCGCGCCCGGGCGGCGCGGGGUCUGGGUCUGGGGAUGUGGUACCGUCUGCUGGCGGCGGCCGGCAGUAGAGCGGUGGCCGGGCCGCUGGCCUUGUUGUGGCGAUGUGGUGGCCCAGGAGGCGGCAGGACGGCCAAGACCAGCGCGAGGGCCCUGGGCAAGGCCCGACAGAAGAAGCUAGUAAAGCUCAUCUGGUCUCUUGUUUCAGUGCUUCCAGGGGAUCCACUUUCAGAAGCUGACUCUGCAGGCAAGACCGACGUUAUUUUCCCGGUGGCUGUGUUCAAAACCACCCAAAGGUACCUGUCUUUCAUCCACCAUCAUUAACAGCAUGAGGUUUACAGGAACUGAGUGGCUUCCUCAGAGUGUGACUUCUACAGUGAGUGACCAGGGGGCGAGGAUCCAGACAACUCAGGGCACAUCCCACUCCACCCCGCCCCAUCCUACCCCUUCCUGGCUUCCAUAUUGAGCCACACAACAUCCAACACCUUCUCCAUGUCUUUAUGGUGUUGAUAUCUCACUAAAGCUGGUGAGAGAAAAGCUCUUUCCAAAGGAAGGUGCUAGAUGAAUCUUUUGGAAGGUAUGGGAACAAACCUUGGUUUCUGCAUAUCUGACUCUGAGGACCAGCUAAGCCUCAUGUUUGGAAAGCAGAACAGAAACAAUGUGCAGACUGGCAUUAGCUCAGAGCACACUUGCCCACUUGGAGUCCUUCUGUAGGCCAUGGACCUGUGCUUUGUGCUUUGUGUCCAGGGACAGUGUUCACUGAAGCCCCUGGAGACCCUGUGUCUCCACAGAGUAGAAGGUGCUCCCUGCACUUGCCUCAGUGUUAGGACCUGAGGGCACAUGCCGAUUGUAUGAAGCAAGAAGAGAGGCAGGAGGAGGGAAAACUGGCGUCUCUCUCACUUUCUCUAUAUCGUCUUGACAGUACGGUUGCUUUUCUUGGUGUGAUUCUGUCUUCUAAAAUAUUAGAACCAGGCUGGGCGCCACCGUCUGUAAUCCCAGCACUUUGGGAGG
RNAcentral lists this small RNA (1012 nucleotides) under Pan troglodytes (chimpanzee). RNAcentral describes it as "retained intron". Lineage: Eukaryota; Metazoa; Chordata; Mammalia; Primates; Hominidae. The record is from RNAcentral.